GGUUUCUUUACACUCGCUGGCAGGCUGGGUGCCGGAUCCCUCGCCCGCCCAGGAAAGUGGGUUACGGAGGGAAGAGGCUCAGCUCAGAUGCUGGCAAAGGAGCAUCCAGCCACAGAGACCAGAGAACACCUUCCUUUUUGCUGCCUCGUCUCCAUCCUUUCUAGAGGGUUUUAUAUUUGCACUCUCUCUUUUAAAAUUUUGUUUCUUUGACUUUUCCCCACCUCUGCUCUGGUUUUAUGAGGGCUUUGUUAAGUCUUAGACGGGAAAGAGACUGAGUGAGGGAAAGAAAGAGGCAAAGUGGAAAGGACCACAAAUUGGCAAAGCCUGUUCUGCUUUUGCUGUGGAUGAAAGUCCUCUGUUUGUAAAGCCCUCUCGGCGUGAGCAGCACGCGCACCCUCCAGAGUAGCCGGACCCUGCACCGCACCUCGGCGUGGCCACCAUGGUCGCCAGAGUUCAGCCUGAUCGGAAACAGUUGCCGCUAGUCCUACUGAGAUUGCUCUGCCUUCUUCCCACAGGACUGCCUGUUCGCAGCGUGGAUUUUAACCGAGGCACCGACAACAUCACCGUGAGGCAGGGGGACACGGCCAUCCUCAGAAUCCUUGAGAUAUGUCUGGUAUAUGGUUAUUAUCAGUGAAUGCUGCUGAAUGCAACGAAAUGUGUAUCAAAAAAUUGUAUGUAGGAAACACAUGGAAUAUUUGACUUGGAGGAUUCUUUCGAGAGAUCAGGAGCAGAGAAAGAAGACAGUGAAGCUGAAAAUUAAAACCUAUCCCAGUUUCUGGGCCACCACUUUGUAAGAAAGGUGAUUCUAAUGUACAGGCUGCUGAGGACAACUGAUUUAGUGGUUCCAUAAGCCAAGGCAGUUGAUGACUGAGAGAGAUGAAAUAAAGGAGCAUUCCUCAGAAUAAAAUGAUAAAGUGAGAGGCAACCUAUUCCUGAGUUGAGACCUGAGUAAGUAACCAGAGGAGGUGUGGAGGAUGGGCUUUCGUUCUUCUAAACACGUGACACAUCAUUUUAAAGACGAAGAUGGUAGAUUACUGUACAUUGCUGAGCAGAGACAGGCCAAAUAAUUCUCUGGUUUGACUAAUGAGUUUCUUCCCAAACAAGUGAAAUGGUUUUGUUCUUAUUUAACAAAAUCCCUUUACAUGGCUUGGUUUGAGGUUAGCAGGUUUAGCUCUCAGAUGAAGGAGGAAAGGACUAGUUAGCUUGCAGCUCCAGGCACCAACAUACUGAUGAGCCAAUUGUGACACGUAAUCAAUGUGUGAAAAGUGGGUAAUUCUCACUAAUGCCCUGCUAAUGUUUUCAGAAUGAUCUGUCAAAGGACUGAAGCUAAUUAUUGUCAUGGCAGUUUGGCCCAGGUCCACUGGAAUAAUCCUGGCAUCAGUGAACAAGAGCAUACCAUACGUUGCCAGUUUGUCACCCACUUUGAGUCUUUAUUCCUCUUUCUCCUCACAUAGAAAUCCUAUAUACCAUUUUCUAUAUUCUUUAAAAUAUGUAAUUACAUCCUUCAUUUCCCUUUCAUUUUCUUGUUUUCCAAGCUCCAUGCUUCAUCUUUUUUUUUUUCCCCCUACUUCCCUUUUCCUUUUUAUUGCAAAAAAUAUUGGAUGGUAACUCAAGAGUCCUAAAAUCUAAUCCUGGUUUUACUAUAAGAGCAAACUGUGUCAUACUCUCUGUGUCUGUUUAUAGGAAAGAAGGAGCAGAUAAGCUGUAAUAAAGGAACUAGGUAUGCAAUAGUGUCCUUUUGUUUGAAAAUAACAAAAUUCUGGAUUUACCUUGCAUGUCUGCUCUAUGUUUAGGUCCAUGGCAUCGUUUUUUUUAUCAAGUUUAUUUAUCACUACGAUGACUCAUUUCUGAACCAUGGGACAUCUAGUAAGCAGGGUACCUACUAGUAAUCAAUUGUGUAGGAAAUGGAGUUUAACCUGCUCUAGAAAUUUAAAGGCGGAGGGAAAACAUUGAGUCUUCAGGUACAAAGACAUACUCCCAGGUACAUAGCAAGGUGACACUGCCAUCUCCAAACUUUCUUGUAAGAUAGUUUUCUCUUGGAAUAAUUUUUCAUUAAUAAUCUCUUGAAUAAUAUCAUAGCAAUGCCUUGGAUCAGUAUAGCAUCUAGUGAUGGUCUCAGAUCUCUUCUCAUCUCAGUUUUAACAUCCCUGUGAAAUAGUUGGGGUGGAUAAUAAUUAUCCCUUCUUUGUUGAUGGAAAACUGGCAAAAGGAGAUUAAUAACAUUUAUAGUCAAAGUGAAUUUGCAUUAUGCAUUUUCCUUCUUAAGCAGUCUUCCCUGCAAGACUGUUCAUGUGUAUGUGUUUAUGUAUAUGUGAUGUGUUUACUUUUUUAGCAAACAGCAUAGUAAAGCGAUGCACAGUUUUUCACUUUUGAGCCAAGUUGAGAAACAGUGUAAUUUUUACUCCCAAAAGAGGCAAAAGCUGUAACAAGUAAGAAAUUUGGAGAUUAAAAAAAAAAAUUUUAAGUAUUUAAACAUUACCUUAGAGCAAAGAUCAGCAAACUUUUUCUAUAAAGGGAUAGAGAGUAAAUAUUUAGAUGUUGUAGGACACAAAUAUUAUCAGUUACAUACUCUUUUCUUAAAUUGCAACCCAACCCUUAACAAAAUUAAAAAAAUUAUUUUUAUUAUUAUUUUUUAAAUUUUUUUGUCUUUUUAGGGCCACACCCAUGGAAUAUGGACUUCCCCAGGCUAGGGGUCCAGUUGGAGCUGUAGCCACCAGCCUACACCAGAGCCACAACAAUACUGGAUCCGAGGUGCGUCUGCAACCUACACCACCACUUACGGCAAUGUUGGAUCCUUAACUCACUCAGUGAGGCCAGGGAUCAAACCUGAGUCAUCAUGGAUGCUAGUCAAGUUUGUUAACCAUUCAACCACAACAGGAACUCCUACAAAAUUUUUUUUUCUUGAAGACUUUAAAAGAAACAGGCCACAAGCCAGAUUUGGCCCUUGGGCCAUAGUUUGCCAAUCCCUGCCUUUGAGUCAUUCUCAUAUUGUGUAGUCCUAGGAGGUAGCUGCUAUUGAUAAUCCCAUUUUACAAAUGAGAAGACUGUGGAUAAUAAAGUAGAAUCAGUUACUUGUCCUACAAGUAAAGCCCGAAGUGUUCUCAGUGAAGUGUUGCUGCUACACACUAGGUAUCUCGUGGUGUGCUAAAAGGGCUCCAGGUGUAAAGAGUGUUACACAUGGGAAAGCCAGUGACUGUAGAAUGAGGAAUCGAAAAUUCCUAACCCAGAAGGAAUCCAGGGGAAACACACAGUUUGUGACAAUGAUUAGGUUUCUGUCUUUUAAUUCUGUAUUUUACCUGCACAUGAAUCCAGACUAUGAUGUUGCAUCAGGUUGUCCAUGUAUGACUGUUUUCCUUGCUUGUCAGAAUAUUUCUCCUCAACCUGGAUCCUCUCUUUAUCACAGAUCUUUUUAACUGUGCUGAUUCUUACCUAUGGUCAUGUUUUUUUUUUUUCUACUAUACUCUGACUUCCUUUAGAGGAUUCUUAAGUAUCAUUUCCAGUUGGAUAAACGUUUAUUUCCCUUCCACAUACCCACUUGAUCCAGAAAGACUUUGAUCUGAACAAUCUUCUAAUAAUAAAAAUCAUAUGCCACUUUUUUGCUUAGAAUUCAUGAUGGUCUUCCCAUAGCCUUUAACAAAUACCAUAUGAUAUCACUUACAUCUGGAAUCUAAUAUACGGCAGAAAUGAACCUUUCCACAGAAAAGAAAAUCAUGGACUUGGAGAACAGACUUGUGGUUACAAAGGAGGGAGUGGGAUGUAUUGGGAGUUUGGGGUUAAUAGAUGUGGACUCUUGCCUUUGGACUGGAUUGGCAAUGAGAUCCUGCUGUGUAGCACUGGUAACUAUGUCUAGUCACUUAUGAUGGAACAUGAUAAUGUGAGAAAAAAGAAAAUAUACAUGUAUGUGUGACUGGGUCACCAUGCUGUAUGGUAGAAAAAAUAAAUUAAAAAAAUUUGAAAGAAGGAAAAGCAAAAAAUAAAAUAAAAUCCAAAUUCCUGUCCCCGCCUACAAAAGCCACACAUGAACUGACUUUUUCUUAAUUUCCAAUAAUAUAUACUUUAUUCUCCAUGAUUCAGACCAACUGUACUCACUUGUUGAAAUGCCCAUCCCCAGAUCUCUGAGCCUGGGUCCUUCUUGUCUUUCUUACCUUCUCAAAGAGGUUGCCCUGGCCACGCACCUUAAUUACAGCAGACUGCUUGACUUCCCAGCAUGAUACUGAGAAUAGAUGAGAACAUAUCCUUGGUUAGAUCAAUUAAAAAUGAUCACCUUUGUUUAUUUAUAAUUAUCACAGCAAUUAAAUGUACAGUCAAUAAAUCCAAUUAAAUUGUUCACUGAUAGAGAUUUUUAUUUCUUUAAAAUCUUCCUGAUACAAUAACAACAUUCGGAAUGUCUGCAAACACACAAUGAUCUUCUCAGUAAGAAUGAACUCAUAUGAGGUAAGACUAUUUUUUGGUCUAAACAAUUUACUGAUGGAAAAAAGAACAGGCCAAGCAUAUGUCCUGUUACAUGUGUUACUUCUACCAUCUACACACUAUGUGACCUUGACCAAGGUAAUUUAACUUUGUCAAAUUCAAUUCAAUCAGCUGUAAAUUUAAACUGAUGCUAUUUAUCUUAUGGCCACAUCUACUAUACAGGCUAAGUGAGGUGGUCCUCUAAUUGAGGGGUUGGAGGGAGUUCCCAUGUCAACCUUAUUAUGAUGUUUACAAUUAUACCUGACAGUUAUUUAUUUCUAUAUAAUUAGUUUAAUUUUUGUCUAUACCACUAGAUUGCAAGUCUCAAGACAUCAGGGAAACUAUCUAUUUUGUAAGUCCCUGAAUCCUCAGCAUCUGAUUUAGUGCUAAACAGAAGACCCUUGAUAAAUGUUUAUCAAAUUAAUUAAUUAAGUUCUUAUAAAGAUCAAAUUUUAUUAAUUCUAAAAUCUGCUAAUAUGUAGUAUUAAACUGUUCUCUAUAGUAUUGUAACUGCUUCUCAUUCUUCUUUAUACCCACAGAAGGAACGUCAUGCCAGGGUGAGUGGGUAGUGAGAAAAUAUUUUUUGUAGAGGCUUCUGUCUAUGUCACUAUAAAAAGUCCCCUCAAAUUAGUGAGUCAGCACCAUUCUGGUUGUCUAACCUCAUAUAAUUCCUUGAAGAAAUAUUACAUUCGCCACCAGAAACAAUUUGUUAACCAGACCACUCACUUGGAACUGGGCCUGGUCAUGGGCCCCCAGGUUGAUUCUAUAGUCAUGAGUGUUGGUGUCCUUUAGGACAUUUGGUCCACCCCACACAGAGUAGAGGUUUAGAGGGCACUGUGAAAGGGAGAAACAGCCCUAGACAGAAACAGAAAUUCUCAGAAAGGCAUUCUGAAGUUUAGUUCCCCACUCCCACCCUAGCACAGGGACCAGGUUAUGCUUUCUGUGCUUUCUGGGCUCUCGGGUGGAAGAGUGAGUGUAGUUGACAUCUGGGGCAUGGUAAACUCAGAGAGAUGUGCUAAACUGAGUCCCUAAUUCUGGCUCCCAAGUAAGUAGUUAUUUUCAUGCCACUUGCAGUCUCUGUUUCCUUGUUGGUUACAGGAGACCAAUGGUGUUUUUCUAAUAAAUAAGUAUUAUAUGUGUAUCUCUGUGUUUGUGUGUUAUAGGUACCCAAUUCUUUAUGAAGAAGAAAGGGUUCUACAGAAUUUAAAUAUUAUUAGCAGUCAUGAAAAUCAUGAAACUAAAAGAAGUGAAUGGGCUAUAACUUUGAAGAAGAUAUAGGAUAGUGGCCAAUAAAUUCAAUAGGGUGGCAGUAUGUGUCUUUAAGCUGGUAGGGUAAAGAAAGAAGGAAUACAAGGUAAAGUUUGGACUUGUUUUCUUAGAAACAGUACAAGUAGAUAAGACAAAUUAUGCUGAUGGCUGUCUUAACAUACAGAGCCAAAGAGCUGGUUUUUAUUUAAUAUAUGUGGAGAGGUUAUUGAACACGGGACUGAUGGAGAAAAAUGUUUUAGAAAAAUUGAUUUGGCAUUAAGUGAUGGAUUAUAUAAAUAUUUAUAGGUGCUUAUUGACCCCACAGGGGCAUCUUUGAAAUGUGUUCUCCUUGUUUAAUUUCCUUUAAGUUUUAUUUUGGCAUCAGUAAAAAAUCUGGAGAUAGCUGAAUGUAUAAAUCAAAACAUUGCUCUUAUUAAUUAGAUGUAAGAACUGUGUUAAGAAAAAAUGCUUCAAAACAGAUUGACUGAUAGUACAGAAAUGUUCUUUCUUUGCAUAAACCCAUAGAACUAUGAACAACAAAAAUUAAACUACGGUUUUCAUGAAGUAUUUGUGCAGUUUCAAGGAUAAAACUCUAAUCCCAUUACAGUCCCUUGAUGUAAGAGUUGUUGUUACUCUAUUUUGUCUUUUGUUUUUGAAACAUCAGAUUAAGUUCUGGUGUGGCCUGCUAAAGGAAAAUAUUUUGUCAUUGUAAUAAGAAGGAAUUCUUUUUCAUUACACGUUUUAUCCAAAAUGAGAGACGCAAGAUUUUUGUUUUGGAGAAGUAGGUAAUUAGGUUCAAGAAUAGCCUAAUGUCAAUAUUUAAAAGUAAUCCGCCCAAUGGGUGUUUUACUUCAUUGUGAUUGUAUUUAUCAGAAUUCAGAGUAUUCUUUAUAAGGAAUUGAUAAGAUACAUUCAAUAGUAGCACCUCUCCAACAAUUAUGGAUUGUAGUCUAAAAAGCUGUUGACAGACAUUCUAAUUAUUCUAAAUUUCUAAAGAAUGAAUUCUGCUAUAUUAUUAGCAAAACUCACUAAAUAUUAAUGAGCUUAGUGUAGUGUUGCAG
RNAcentral lists this long non-coding RNA (6758 nucleotides) under Sus scrofa (pig). RNAcentral's name for it is "lncRNA (ENSSSCG00055017212.1)". Lineage: Eukaryota; Metazoa; Chordata; Mammalia; Artiodactyla; Suidae. The record is from RNAcentral.